GAUGAACGCUAGCUACAGGCUUAACACAUGCAAGUCGAGGGCAGCGCAGUGUAGCAAUACAUGGGCGGCGACCGGCGCACGGGUGCGUAACGCGUAUCCAACCUUCCCGAUACUCAGGGAUAGCCUUCCGAAAGGGAGAUUAAUACCUGAUGGUGUUUCAAUUCCGCAUGUUAAUGAAACUAAAGAUUUAUCGGUAACGGAUGGGGAUGCGUGACAUUAGAUAGUAGGCGGGGUAACGGCCCACCUAGUCUACGAUGUCUAGGGGUUCUGAGAGGAAGGUCCCCCACACUGGAACUGAGACACGGUCCAGACUCCUACGGGAGGCAGCAGUGAGAAAUAUUGGUCAAUGGUCUAACGACUGAACCAGCCAUGCCGCGUGAAGGUCACGGCCCUAUGGGUCUUAAACUUCUUUUGUAAGGGAGCAAUAAGCUUUACGUGUAGAGUGAUGAGAGUACCUUACGAAUAAGCAUCGGCUAACUCCGUG
This 484-nucleotide ribosomal RNA is filed under the name uncultured bacterium. RNAcentral's name for it is "bacterial SSU rRNA". It matches the Rfam family "Bacterial small subunit ribosomal RNA", at positions 28 to 507 of the family's 1533-position model. The record is from RNAcentral.